ACAUUCUGUAUAAAAAACAGAGGAGUGAAUAAACAAAAACAAAAACAUGCAAUCUUUGCUAAUUUUCCUCAUUGUCCUAAGUGCCUCACCUGGUAUCUCCUCCAGUCCUCAGCUGACCCAAUCUGGCCCUGGAAUCGUGAAGCCAGGCAAGUCCUUCAAACUGACCUGUUCAGUCUCUGGUGCCCAAGUGAGUGGUUAUUACUGGGGCUGGAUCCGAGAAACUCUAGGGAAAGAUCUGGAAUGGAUGGGUAACAUUCGGCCCACAUCAGGUGGAGGAAGCAGCUACUACAAUUCAGCUUUCAGCAGCCGAAGCACCAUCUCUAGGGACACCAACAAAAAUGAAGUCUAUCUUCAGAUGAAUUCCCUAACAGCUGCAGACACAGCAGUAUAUUAUUGUGCAGGAGACACAGCAAAGCAAGACAACGAAUCAUCCAUGCAAAAAACCAGUAAUACACCAGCAUUAGAGCAAGGAAUGAGGGUGGGUGGAGGGAAGAUCUAUUGCUCAGAGAAUCCCAUGAAAGCUCUUGAAAACUUGAUCAUGUGCAUUGCACAGCCCCAGAUCUCAUUGCCCCAUGAAUGGUGGUUGAGGCCAAAAUUUCAUCUCACUGAGCAUUAUGUUGAAUCAGGAUAA
Non-coding RNA from Podarcis raffonei (Aeolian wall lizard), 631 nucleotides. NCBI's taxonomy places the organism in Eukaryota, Metazoa, Chordata, Lepidosauria, Squamata, Lacertidae. The record is from the annotation of a RefSeq genome assembly.